UGGGACGUAGCCAAGUGGUAAGGCAGCGGGUUUUGGUUCCGUCAUUCGGAGGUUCGAAUCCUCCCGUCCCAG
This 72-nucleotide transfer RNA is filed under the name Actinostachys pennula. RNAcentral describes it as "tRNA-Gln". It matches the Rfam family "tRNA". Rfam says of the family: Transfer RNA (tRNA) molecules are approximately 80 nucleotides in length. Their secondary structure includes four short double-helical elements and three loops (D, anti-codon, and T loops). Lineage: Eukaryota; Viridiplantae; Streptophyta; Polypodiopsida; Schizaeales; Schizaeaceae. The record is from RNAcentral.